AAAAACAAAAAUCUAACUAAUGAUUAAGGCCAACUUGAAACAUUCUCUCCCCUAGCAAGAAUAUUCCUAUUCGUCUCCUCCUCCUUGCAAGAAAUGCAACCCAAAACGCCAAGCAAGAAGGGCUUCAGCCUCCGCUCCAUCAUCCUCCACUCCUUGUGGAUAACCAUCAUCGGCAUACUCCUGUUUCUGGAAAGCCACCGCCAACAGAGUCUUUUCCGUCAAAUUAUUUGCAAUAUCCGGUGCUAUUCUUGCCACUGUUCGUUCUGUUCAUCCUCUCCUUUCAACGACUAUUAUAUUAUUAUUCAAAGCCAAUGGCCUGUGAUCUCACAUGUCUUAACUUCAUAUUGUUAGGAGAUGUACGCAAAGAUAUGUGACUUUCUACUGAUGCUUCGGUCUUUUAAAAUUAGUGGAGAAAUGACCUCUGCUUUUGGGCGGAACUGAUGGCAG
RNAcentral lists this long non-coding RNA (447 nucleotides) under Manihot esculenta (cassava). Its description in RNAcentral is "long non-coding RNA (MESC_LNC002002)". The record is from RNAcentral. Lineage: Eukaryota; Viridiplantae; Streptophyta; Magnoliopsida; Malpighiales; Euphorbiaceae.